Molecule: ribosomal RNA, 460 nt
Filed under: uncultured bacterium
Lineage: Bacteria
Description: partial 16S ribosomal RNA
Rfam family: Bacterial small subunit ribosomal RNA
Source: RNAcentral
CCUACGCGAGGCAGCAGUGAGGAAUAUUGGUCAAUGGACGAGAGUCUGAACCAGCCAAGUAGCGUGAAGGAUGACUGCCCUAUGGGUUGUAAACUUCUUUUAUAUGGGAAUAAAAUGUUCCACGUGUGGGAUUUUGUAUGUACCAUAUGAAUAAGGAUCGGCUAACUCCGUGCCAGCAGCCGCGGUAAUACGGAGGAUCCGAGCGUUAUCCGGAUUUCUUGGGUUUAAAGGGAGCGUAAGUGGAUUGUUAAGUCAGUUGUGAAAGUUUGCGGGUCAAACGUAAAAUUGCAGUUGAAACUGGCAGUCGUGAGUACAGUAGAGGUAGGCGGAAUGCGUGGUGUAGCGGUGAAAUGCUUAGAUAUCACGAAGAACUCCGAUUGCGAAGGCAGCUCACUGGACUGCAACUGACACUGAGGCUCGAAAGUGUGGGUAUCAAACAGGAUUAGAUACCCGUGUAGGC